GUUAGUUGCAUCCUUCAUGUAGAUCCUGCAAACGCUGUUGACGAGAGUUUGUGUAUUAGGCCGGACGAUGUUCCUGACGUGAAAGUUGAAAAAUUGGUAAGGCGUAUUAUGGCCAAUCAAGACAUCCCGAAGGAUAUGUUUAAAGGGGGUGUCACUAAAGCGGAUGUAGAGAAGAUGCGGGAGAAGGCUAAGGAAGGAGGGAAACGUAAACAACAGCGUCAGAAACCAAAAGCAGGAGCUACACCCGUCGUGGAGGAGCCAAAUAUAACUUCGCCAAAUAUAACUUUUGUUGUCCAAUCCAUCAUCAGACCAGAGAUUGAGAGGAUGGAGGGGACGGUGGCUGCUGCGGUUGCAUCAGCGAUUGAUGCUUCUUCGAAUGCUCUUGCUUACAAGGCGUCUGUUGUUGCUACCGUAGAGGAGAUGUUAUCAGCGUUCAAAACUGAAAUACUUUCUUUCUUCCCUAGCAUUAGUACUCAGAUGGAAAGCCAUAGGCAACAACCCACACCCCAGCCUGGUGGAUUGAGUACCGGAUUUGUACCUGAAAACACAACCCCUCGGCGGGGCAAUGAAAAUGACAACAUUAUAGAGAACGUGAUGGAAAAUAUCAGUCAUUACUCAACGCCCCUGAGUCGGGAAAUAAAUGCAGUGGUUCUGAGGCACAGUCUCGUCGUGAGGGCUCUCACGUGUCAUCAGUUCCAAAUGGAGAAAAGAGUAACAAGGUAACCGAACAUGUGAGUGGUCAUACUACAAAACCUAGCUCUGCCAAACGUUUGUCAGUCAAUGGUUCUGAGGCACAGUCUCGUCGUGAGGGUUCUCCCGUAUCAUCCGUUCCAAAUGGAGAAAAAAGUAACAACGAUUCCGAAAAUGGGAAUGUCCAGGCUACAAAAUCUAGCUCUGCCAAACGUUUGUCAGUCAAUUUUCAGAAUCUCCGAGGGAGGGGGCCAACGAGCCAACAGGUGAUGUAUCACAACCUCAAAAUGUUUUCACUUCUUCCGUCUCUGCCCACAGCCAGACACACGAAGGAUCUGAUGAAAAUGCUGUCAACGUAUCUGUCGAACCUGAGAAUCCUUCUUUCUCACUUGGCCUAACUCAGGAAAUUGGCACGACGGUCCAGGAUGAGGAAGACGACCAGAUGGGAGAGAAUCAUAAUAAUCUGCCUGUACAAGAGGACGACGCGAUGGGAGAGAAUCAUAAUAAUCUGCAUGUACAAGAGGACGACGCGAUGGGAGAGAAUCAUAAUAAUCUGCUUGUACAAGAGGACGACGCGAUGGGAGAGAAUCAUAAUAAUUUGGUUGUACAAGAGAAGGAACCAGAUGUUUGUGAAAAUGAGGACAGCUUCAGUUGCCGUAAAAGCAAACACCUCAAGAAGGUUCCUACACAGCUUAUCACUGAUUACCAGUGUGGCACCUCCCUUCUAAACCGUGCACGGGAAGGGCCUAUGUUUUGGAGCACAUAUUAUGACUCCUCCGUCGUAUGUGACAAGUAUCUCCGCUUGAAGUUUCUUCUAAAGAAAGACUGGUGUGUUCUUCUUAUUUCCGUAUUACAUACAGAGUUUUAUUUAUUAAUACUUAUCUAGCCUGCAAAUCAUGUACUCCUCCUAAUCCGGUUUUUGUCUACCUGCUAUUUCGUUUCAAUGUCAUCAAUGUGUGUGGCUUAUCUGUUACCGGGAAAGACAUUGUUGAUAUCGGAGAAAGAGAACGCCUCCUCCCAGACAUAGUUGUUGACAUACUAACAAAGGUUGUGUCAACCAACUUCAACAAUCUCUGUCUGGGUCGCAGCGAGAAUACUCCUGUCUUUCUUGAUAGUCGGGUUCAUGGCCUGCUUGCAAGGAAUUAUCCAAAGUUUUAAAAAGCAAAUCCCAAGGAUGGAUAUGUUUUCACAAAGGCUAUGGUGGAUUGUGUUAGAAAAGGUUACUCUGACGUCUCCACGGUGACACGCUUCUACAUGCCAGUCAACGUUAACCGUGGUCAUUGGGUAGGGCUAUGUGUGGAUGUGUCUUCUUCCAAGAUAUUCGUUUUCUAUUGCAACCCCGUACUGACGAUGGACAGUGCAUUGCUUAAAGAGCUUCUACCCAUCUCUGAGAUGUUGCCUUAUCUUCUGAAACAUUUGGGGAAUGUGGUACAGCCAGCUGGGAACCGAUUGCUUGUUGAGAGAGUAAAGCGAAUUCCGCUUAUCAGUAAUCCUGCAGAUGCAGCGUUGACUGCUGCUCUGUUGAUUCAGUCACAUGCCAUGUUUGGUUCCGACGCUUGUAAGAGCAUCACUACGUCAAUCAUUCCCGUGGAAGCGCAAAGGGCGGCGGUUAUGGUUUAUGAGUUUCAUCAGAAGUUGUAGAGCACCUUUUUUUACUAUUUCAAUGUCUGGCUAUGAUUCCUGUUACUGAAAUGUUGCUAAGUACUUCCAAACUUGCAUUCAGCAUUAUGGUUAUUUUAUCUAUGUUUUAUUUAUGUUUGACUAUGAAAUGAUUGUUGUUAAGUCAAAAGGUUCGGUAACU
Molecule: long non-coding RNA, 2491 nt
Organism: Raphanus sativus (radish)
Lineage: Eukaryota; Viridiplantae; Streptophyta; Magnoliopsida; Brassicales; Brassicaceae
Exons: 6
Source: RefSeq, a predicted model, not a curated record